UGUCUCCUUUUUUCCAGCCAAAAUAACAGGCCUCACGGUGUCUCUUAGCUGGACGAGUUCAACAAUCCUAUCAGUUGAAAGGCGCAAAGGCAGCCUUGAUAGUGUUUCAUCACGCAAUAUUUGUGCAAGCUGUUCCUCCUCUUUUUUGUUGUCCCAAAACAACAAAGCCACAAAAACAGCAAUACCAGCGACAUUUAUAGCAGCAUUUCCUGCAGUCGCCCCUAAAUCAGGAGCACCAUCUCCACCUUGAAUUGCACGGAUUAACCUGGGUAUAGUGAAAAAUGUAGAAAUUCCAGCAGCAGCAAUGAAUGCCACAUAAAAGAAUCUUCUGACCCCCCUAAACGGUGCUUGUACCUCACUGAUGAGCUUAAGGUCUCUACGGAAACUGUAACCUAUGUCUUCCCCUCCUAACCUAGCCUCUUCCUGUAGUUCCUUAAAUUCAGGCAAUGCUCUGAAGGAAGCCAAAUCUGGAUCAUUUAAGAUUGUGCCAAACUUAAGGUUAUACUCUUUCAAAGCAGUGCGUAA
RNAcentral lists this unclassified non-coding RNA (525 nucleotides) under Hevea brasiliensis (rubber tree). The record is from RNAcentral. Lineage: Eukaryota; Viridiplantae; Streptophyta; Magnoliopsida; Malpighiales; Euphorbiaceae.